GACGAACGCUGGCGGCGUGCCUAAUACAUGCAAGUUGAGCGAUGAAGCUUGGUGCUUGCACCAAUUUGAAGAGCAGCGAACGGGUGAGUAACGCGUGGGGAAUCUGCCUUUGAGCGGGGGACAACAUUUGGAAACGAAUGCUAAUACCGCAUAAUAACUUUAAACAUAAGUUUUAAGUUUGAAAGAUGCAAUUGCAUCACUCAAAGAUGAUCCCGCGUUGUAUUAGCUAGUUGGUGAGGUAAAGGCUCACCAAGGCGAUGAUACAUAGCCGACCUGAGAGGGUGAGCGGCCACAUUGGGACCUAGACACGGCCCAAACUCCUACGGGAGGCAGCAGUAGGGAAUCUUCGGCAAUGGACGAAAGUCUGACCGAGCAACGCCGCGUGAGUGAAGAAGGGUUUCGGAUCGUAAAACUCUGUUGGUAGAGAAGAACGUUGGUGAGAGUGGAAAGCUCAUCAAGUGACGGUAACUACCCAGAAAGGGACGGCUAACUACGUG
Molecule: ribosomal RNA, 497 nt
Filed under: uncultured bacterium
Lineage: Bacteria
Description: partial 16S ribosomal RNA
Rfam family: Bacterial small subunit ribosomal RNA
Source: RNAcentral